AGUUAAACUAGGACGCAAAACCUUGUCCUACCCAUUCCCUCUUUAAUGCCUUGUGUUCACUGGCUGAAGAUGUGUUUCCUAUAAGAACACAAUGUCAGCCUUUAAUUUCUUAAGGAGGAGUAGCAAGUAUGCCGGAAGACUCGGAAGAGGCUGCUGAGAGGAACAGUGUGGAACUGUCGUCUGCGUUAUCAGGGCUAAUGCUUAUCUUGCUAGCUGUGGUGGUAUUAUCUUGGGAUUCAACAAAGUUUUGGUCAUCCUUCUUGACUCCCGGCCGGAGGUCCAUGGCUCUUUGGGAAGCCAUCCAGGACUGACUGGAACAGGUUGACCACCAGCUGCACCUCUCCCUUCUGCGUCUCUCCUGCCAGGCUGAUCACCCUGUUCUGGUAG
Molecule: long non-coding RNA, 387 nt
Organism: Coregonus clupeaformis (lake whitefish)
Lineage: Eukaryota; Metazoa; Chordata; Actinopteri; Salmoniformes; Salmonidae
Exons: 3
Source: RefSeq, a predicted model, not a curated record